UUUUUUUUUCUUUUUUAGCCUGUUGAUGGGAUGGAACACAUUGAUUUUUGAACAUUGAACCAGCCUGGCAUAUUGAAUAAAUCCUAAUUGGUUGGUUGUGUGUGUGUGUGUUUGUGUGUAUACAUUAUAUACACAAUAUAUAAUAUAAAUAGUAUUAGUGUAUAUAUAAGUAUACAUGUAUUUAAGCAUAUCAUUAGAUUCAUUUUGCUAAUAUUGUGUUGAGGAUAUUUGCAUCUUUUUUAAGAAGAGAUAAUUAGUCUGCAGUUCCUUGGUUUUCAAUUUUUAAAAUCCAUAAACAGGGUACAUAAAACAAUAAUAAUUGAAAACAGACUAAAAUAUAACACAAAUGUAGAAGGAGAAGUUGAGGGAAAUAUAAAAUGGUAACAUAGACAAUGGGGAGUCAAGAGAUACUGUCUGGAGUUGAUGGAUCAAGAAACAAUCCUCAAGUCUCCCUGUUGUGUUGCAGCAAAAAUAAAUCCAACUAGUAUCCAUGAGGAUGUAGGUUCAAUCCCUGGCCUUGCUCAGUGGGUUCAAGAUCCAGCGUUGCCCUGAGCUGUGGUGUAAUUUGCAGACACAUCUCAGUUCCUGUGUUGCUGUGGCUGUGGCAUAGGCUUGUAGCUGUAGCGAGGAUUCAACCCCUAGCCUGGGAAUUUCCAUAUGACAUGGGUGCAGCCCUAAAAAGCAAAAAAAAAAAAAAAAAAAGAGAAAGAGAGAGAGAAAAGAAAAGAAAAAAAGCCAAUCAUUAAAUAUAUUGGAAGGAGAAUAACUCGAAACAAUUUACUAAUUUUUAUUUUUUUAAUUUUAUUGGAGUAUAGUUGACUUACGACGUUGUGUUGUAUGUGUACAGCAAGGUUAAAAAAACAUAAUUUACUUAGAGGAGAACAGAUGUCAUGUAGUAGUGGGGGUGAGUUAAAUCUCUCAGCUUUCAUGAUGGAUACAAAAUAGGUACUUGUAUGUUUACAAUACAAGCUAGGCUAACAGAACAAAGGAAUACCCAAAUAAUGUUUUGUUCCCCUCUCUUGUAGUAGUUUGAGUAGUUGGUCCUGGCUGACAUAUUGGUUUAACAGGAUCUGGGCUCUAGGCUCCUUUGAUAUGUUGCUGUGCUGUCUUCAUCACCUGGCCUACAUCUUAUUAUCCAUAUAGAUGCUUUAGCGUUACCAUCAUAACUUCACUUGUGGCUAUGGAUUAAGGAAAACCCCAAGAAGAAGACGCAUUCCUUUAAGAGCCUGACAUGGAAGCACUUAUAUCCCUUUUCAUAUCCUAUUCGUCACAGAACUAGUCACAUGACCUCAUCUAUCUAUAAGAAAAACUGGGAAAUAUGGUCUUUAGUGCGGCAGAUAUGUAUUCAGCUAAAAAUGCUUUUAAUGUGGAGGAAGAGAACAGAGAUGGGAGAUAGUAGGCACUGCUAUUAUGUUUACGUUUUAUAAGUACAGGUAGAAGCAAAUUGUUUGGCAUUAUGGAGUCAACUACAGACCCUUUAAAACCAAAAAUAUACAAAUAUGGAGGCCUCAGAGUGGGAAGAACCAUAUCUUUUAAUUUUGUACCUUUCUGUACUUGUUGUAUUAUUUCCAUAUGUUUUUAUAAUGAUGCUGUAAUAAUAAUAUGUAAAUGUAAUUUAUAUGGAAAAUAUGUAUCCUUUUUUUAGGUGGUAGGGAAAAAAACGACCAUUGUAGCAGAAUAAAGAAAAUCCAGACUUAAGAAAAAUAAAAAGCUUUAGAUAAAUUACCUUUUGAUUUUUAUGACUUCUCUAGUCCUGUUUUCUCUUGUUUGUUCACAGAGGGGCAUUUGCCCUUGCCAGAUAGGUCGAGAAAUAAAUGAUGAGAUGAAAAGAUAGUCAUCAUGACUUUGGGCAAAUGAAGUUACUAAAACGAGAAACAGGAAAAGGAGAUCAAACACACCCAAGGCCAUUUUAUCUACUCUUGGACUGGGGCAAUUCUUCUGUUUUGGGGGCUUUGACCUAUGUGAUGCUGCCGUGUACUGAGCACUGAAAGAUUGUGCUGCUUCCCUUUGAAGAUUAUUUCUUGGUCCAACAGAUUUCAUCCAUUGGAAAUUAGGGGCUUAUUUUCUAUUCCAGGUACAUUUUCCUUUUCUUAAUAUAAUCCCAUUAUUUUUAAUUAUACUUUUCACAUCAUCCCUAUAAUUUCCAUCUUAUUAGGAUUCUCAAAUACCUGUAGAUAGCAACUCCUUAGACAUUAUUUUCUCAAAUGCACCUAUUAUUUCUUCUUUGAUCUUUUCUCUUAAGUUAGUUUCUAUAGCCACUCAGUGUCCAUGGUUUUAAGGAUUCUUUUUUCUGCAUUUUUCUUCAGUUGGGACUGUAUCUAUAUUUCCUGAGAGCAGAAUAUAAAGUUUUUCUCUUGUUGUGGGGUCUGAAUUUUAUUUUCAUAUAGCGUGUAUGUCUCAGUGCUUAUGUGUAUGUAUCACCUGUAUUUUUUAAGGUAUUAAAGUUGAUAGUCAAUGACUUGAGGUGAAUAAGGGGAUAUUUGACCAGAUGGCCUUGAAGUUUACAUUAAACUCUGAGUUUUUCAAUUUUAUGUAAAGAUUACAAAUUGUUUUUCAUCUAUAAAUUGUGCAGCUAAGCAGUGAUCUAUAAAAAGAAUUACAAAAGUCAAAUGUAAAACUUCUCUUUUACCAUUUUCCAAUCUUUAGUAAUAUGAAUAUAUUUUAGACUUUAACAAGUAUUUGUGCAUUGUUAUAUUUUGCUUCCAUAACUGGAUGCUAAUUCAUAUAUAAAUGUUCAUAUAGUCUAUUAUCCACCUUCAUAUCCUUUAAAAUAGUUAGGCAUUGUACUACUCUAUCAUAACUUGUUUAACCAUUUAAAUACACAAAUCUUAAAAACCAUUAUCCCUGAGUUAUAACAUAACAUCAAUAUAUAACAGGUGACUGAUUAAUUAAAUAGAGAAAUAAACUUGAUUUUAGUACUGAGAUUACCACUUAGAACCCAGAGGAUGUCCACAGAAUACAUAAAUGUUAUUUUAUAGUCUUAAGUCCUUUUUCUUACUUUGAGAAAACACAUCAGAAUUGCAUGGUUGAUGAUUUUGCAAUGAUGUGCUUCAGAAUUUUGCCCACUGUUAGAUUUUUUUUUUUUUAAGUCUUUUUGCCAUUUCUUGGGCCACUCCCACGGCAUAUGGAGGUUCCCAGGCUAGGGGUCUAAUUGGAGCUGUAGCUGCCAGCCUAUGCCAGAGCCACAGCAAUGCGGGGUCUGAGCCGCGUCUGUGACCUACACCACAGCUCAUGACAACGCCAGAUCCUUAACCCACUGAGCAAGGGUAAGGAUCGAACCUGCCACCUCAUGGUUCCUAGUCAGAUUCGUUAACCACUGUGCCACGACGGGAACUCCCACUGUUAGUUUUUUAACAUUUGACUUUUCUGUAAGGUACAUGCAAUGUGUUUGGCUGUAUAUCCCUUUGUAUUAAAAACUAAAUCCAAAAGGAAUCUUUCUCUCCAGCUUUAAGAGUACUUUUAAAAUGCACAAAAAUUCUCCUUUUGGAUACACUUUCUGCAGUUCCCAGUGGCUAAUAUUUCUGAAAGUGUAAAAUAUGCUUCUAGUUCUUACAGUGACAGUUCCUAAAUAAAAGUGUUGCUAACUGGUCUCAUGUGAUGAUACUUACAAAGUUAGUGGGCAAAUAUAUAGGUCUCCCUUCAGUACUGAAAUUGCCUUUGGCAUAUGUUAUUUUGUAAAAUAUGCAGUUUCUAUGCUGGGCACCAAUACAUGGCUGAAAGUACAGGGAAGAUGGAUAAAUUUCACUAUGUGUGAGAGAAGCAAACUAUUUGGAUAAGUUGCACCCUAGAGACUAAAAUGUUUAGACUCUGUGACCCAAGAAUUGUUCCUAACUUAUUUAGAAUGUGAGGAGAAAUGCUUUGGGCCAGAUGUGAAUUAAGUAUAUACAUGUCUAUAUGUAAAGUCAAGUCUAGCCUAUGACAGAGAUUCAGCCUGGGAGGAAUUGCUAAGUGGUAGGAAGAAAGGAAAAGGUAAUUUGGCAGAUAUACACAUAAAAUUAUGUUUUAGUAUUUUGCUUGACCAGGAAACGAGAUUCUGCAGUCAAUAUUUAAAAAGUUAAAAUGUCUACUUUGUGCAGAAAUUGGGCUACAUACCCAAUAGAGAAUCUUUCUGAAAUCCCUAGUGACUCAGUGAAGCAGGUGUUGUUAUCAUGUUCAUGGUACAGAUGUGGAAAUUGAAGGACAAAGUGGUUAAGUUGCUUGUUUACGGUUACUCAUCUAGUAUGCUGUGGACGAUUCUGAUUCUUUUUCACUUCUAAUCCUGGUGCCUGGUCUCCCAAACCUGUGCUUUUCAGUGGGACAGAGGAGUAAAGAGCAAGCUAGCUACCUUUAUAUUUGAGAAGGUCACAAAUUUAUGGGUUGAGAGGAAAGAAAACAUCCCUUCUAAGUUUCCAAGGAAGCCUAGUUUGUAGACACCUGGUGGUUCCCAUUUAAGGAAGACUCAGUCUGUACCUACAACAAAGAGAUUUUUAUUUUAUUUUUUUUAAGUAGACAGAAGUUUGGGGGCAAAAAUAGUGCAGGGGGAGGGAACCCAGGAAUUGAGUUUGUUGGAUUUUUGAGUCUACACUUAACUGCUGGGUGAAUGUGAAGUUCUUUCCCACUGGAAGAUUGUAUGGCUAUAAUCACUAUGAAAUUGAUCACAGUCAAGAUUGAGAAUGAAGGUGAUCAUAAUGAUAAAGGUGAUAAUAAUGAUAAAGAUAUUAUCUAUGAGUAAUACUUCACACUGCUUUUCUGUUUGUAAAGCACUUUCAUAUAUCAUUUCAUUUGAUCUUCUCUCCAACCCUUGGAAGUAGGUACUAGCAUCAAUCUCUAAUUUCUAUUUUAUGGAUGAGAUCAUUGGACUUCAUAGAUGGGCAAAUACAAAUUUAGAUUUGGUAUUAAAAUAGUAAUGAUAACCUAAUUUAAAUGAAGAGUGGGUGUGACUCAGGACCUCAGUAGUGAAGAGAAUUACCAAAAAUAUUAAAUACAAAUCAAAUUAAUAGCUUUGAGAGUUCCAGCAAAGCCUGGACAAUUAUAACCUUUUCAACAGAGGACAAAGCUAACAGUUAUGCUUAAUUCCCCCCCCACCCCCAGCUUAGGCUGUAGAAUAUCCAUUAAGUUGAUAAAGCCUGAAAUAGUCCCCUUAGAGAAGAACUAAGGGAAAACUCUCUAGAUUCAAAACUGCAGAAAGUGAAAACAGGAAUGAAACAGGAAUGUCGAAGAGUAGCCCAAUUGGGAAAACUGCUCUGGCUGGGCCUAUGGUCAUUGUAGGCCUCCUAAGAAAGAUGCAGGUCAGUGCAUACAGAGGUCCAAACGAUAAGACCCGAACACAUACCAUGGGUGUGGGAGGGGAACUGUGGAAGACUGAAUGGUACAUUCUGAGAGCAGAAGUCCUCAAUAUCAGGCCCCAAAGAGGAGCUUUGUAUGACUGAGGCCAUGUCAGAGAUAGAAGCCUCAUUCUGCUUAUGUCAUCACUGACUCCUAAUCUGUUCUUGGACUUCUUCUUUUGUUUCUAUUUCUUUGCCUUCUCCAUGACGCUCCUUUUUAUUGACCAUCAUUGUUGAUGCCCCUCAAAGUUCUGCCCAUGAUUUCUUGUCUCUAGCCCUUGACACAGUUACCCUUGAAAAUCAAAUUUAAAGCCAAGUUUAUGUUAUCUAUAUUCUCAAAAUCUCAGGUUCUAAUAUCCAAGCCCAUAUUUUUUACUGCCUAUAUAUUUUUUAUCUCAAAAUGUUUAAAUCAGAACUUAAUUUUUCAGGCUAAAAGUGUCAAGAGUUUCAAGAGUUAUCUCUUAUUCAUCCCUCUAACUUGCCACCCACCCCAUUCGAUUCUGUUGCUUCUACCUCUGAAAUAUCUUUUCUAUCCAUCUUUUCCUUGCUAUUUCUACCACUAAUGAUCUCUUUUGUUCUAUUGCCAUUAUUAUUUUAUGACUAUUACAAUAAUCUAGCCAGUCUCUCUGAAUUCAGACUUCAACCUGUCCAAUAAUCCUGUAUACUAGCACUCACUUCAUUGGCUUAAAGCUAUCUUUCUCAAACUGUUCCAAAUAAUGAUAAUUACAGGGAAUGCUAAUAGAGAGUAUACUUUUUCUGAGCAGGGAGUUGUCAAAUGCUGUUAGGAAAUUUGGGGAUAAACAAACUAAAAUAUGUUUAUAGGACUUUUCAGAGCCUCUAGCAUGUUAAUUUACAUUAUGAAUCUUCAAUAUAAUAUGUAAUCCCAUAAGAGUAAGGAUUUGUUUGUCUUUUUCAUUGAUAUAUUUCCAGAAUACCCUUUUGGUACCCAUCAAAUAGUAGAUGCUCAAUAUUUACCCACUUGAGUGAACAAAAGAAUGAAAGAUGAGUGUAUGUUAAACAGCAUUUUCUACUUUAAUAUAAAUAUAAAAACAUUUUAAUCAAGUUACCUCUCAAGGGAGCAAUGUCUAUGAAAUAUUUUCUCUGAAACAUGGCUCUAAAGUAGAGUUUCUCAGCUUUGGCACUAAUGAAAUUUGGGCAGAAAAUUCUUUAUGGCAGGGGCCUUUCCUGUGUACUGCAGAAAGUUUAGCAGCCUGUUGCCCUCUACCUCCUAGGUCCCCAAUAGCACCAGCCUUCCCAUCUCUGACAACCCAAAAUGUCUCCAGACCUUGCCAAAUAUGCUUGGAGUAAGGGGAGAGGGGCAAAAUUGUCCCUGGUUAAAGAACCAAUAUAGUUGGAGUUUAUUAUUCUCCAGCUCAAAAAUUUUCACAACCUCUUCAUUGCCUGUGAAAUUAAGUCUGCAUUCCUUAGGCUUAUAUGCAAGUUCCCCCUUUGUCCUGAAUCUUACACAUGAGUGCACGUGCACACACACGUGUACCUGCAAUCAGGGAGGUAGUACAUGGUGGAAAAAUGGGUACUUCAUUGAAUGUAAUUCUGACAUGAUCGAUCUCAGCCUAUCACAGAGGUCAUCACUUUAUCCUUCUCUAUCCCGCACCUCCAGCCAGCCAACUAUUUAUUUGAACACUUACUUUUUUUCUUUACAACAUAUGCUAUUCAAGGUUGCCCUUGAUAAUCUUCCAUAAUUCUGAUUUAACCUGAGCACAAACGUUUUGAUGAACACUGCAUAAUGUAGCCUGGUUCUCUAAAUUUCAUUAGAGGACCCCCUUACUUUUAUAUAUGACCCAGAUGUAUAUUUGCUUA
RNAcentral lists this long non-coding RNA (7121 nucleotides) under Sus scrofa (pig). Its description in RNAcentral is "lncRNA (ENSSSCG00015018739.1)". Lineage: Eukaryota; Metazoa; Chordata; Mammalia; Artiodactyla; Suidae. The record is from RNAcentral.